Molecule: ribosomal RNA, 549 nt
Filed under: uncultured bacterium
Lineage: Bacteria
Description: bacterial SSU rRNA
Rfam family: Bacterial small subunit ribosomal RNA
Source: RNAcentral
GGGGAAUCUUCCGCAAUGGACGAAAGUCUGACGGAGCAACGCCGCGUGAGUGAUGACGGCCUUCGGGUUGUAAAGCUCUGUUAAUCGGGACGAAUGGUUCUUGUGCGAAUAGUGCGAGGAUUUGACGGUACCGGAAUAGAAAGCCACGGCUAACUACGUGCCAGCAGCCGCGGUAAUACGUAGGUGGCAAGCGUUGUCCGGAAUUAUUGGGCGUAAAGCGCGCGCAGGCGGAUUGGUCAGUCUGUCUUAAAAGUUCGGGGCUUAACCCCGUGAUGGGAUGGAAACUGCCAAUCUAGAGUAUCGGAGAGGAAAGUGGAAUUCCUAGUGUAGCGGUGAAAUGCGUAGAUAUUAGGAAGAACACCAGUGGCGAGGGCGACUUUCUGGACGAAAACUGACGCUGAGGCGCGAAAGCCAGGGGAGCGAACGGGAUUAGAUACCCCGGUAGUCCUGGCCGUAAACGAUGGGUACUAGGUGUAGGAGGUAUCGACCCCUUCUGUGCCGGAGUUAACGCAAUAAGUACCCCGCCUGGGGAGUACGACCGCAAGGUUG